RNAcentral lists this ribosomal RNA (506 nucleotides) under uncultured bacterium. RNAcentral's name for it is "partial 16S ribosomal RNA". It matches the Rfam family "Bacterial small subunit ribosomal RNA", at positions 28 to 523 of the family's 1533-position model. The record is from RNAcentral.
GAUGAACGCUAGCUACAGGCUUAACACAUGCAAGUCGAGGGGUAACAAGGGGAAAGCUUGCUUUCCUUGUUGACGACCGGCGCACGGGUGAGUAACGCGUAUCCAACCUGCCUAUAACUAGGGAAUAACCUUGCGAAAGUAAGACUAAUACCCUAUGAUUUCCUUUGAUGACAUCAGAUUAGGAAUAAAGAUUUAUCGGUUAUAGAUGGGGAUGCGUCUGAUUAGCUUGUUGGCGGGGUAACGGCCCACCAAGGCAACGAUCAGUAGGGGUUCUGAGAGGAAGGUCCCCCACAUUGGGACUGAGACACGGUCCAAACUCCUACGGGAGGCAGCAGUGAGGAAUAUUGGUCAAUGGGCGGAAGCCUGAACCAGCCAAGUAGCGUGCAGGAUGAAGGCCCUAUGGAUUGUAAACUGCUUUUAUACAGGAAUAAAGUUAGCCACGUGUGGUUAUUUGUAGGUACUGUAUGAAUAAGGACCGGCUAAUUCCGUGCCAGCAGCCGCCGCAG